This 253-nucleotide ribosomal RNA is filed under the name uncultured bacterium. Its description in RNAcentral is "partial 16S ribosomal RNA". It matches the Rfam family "Bacterial small subunit ribosomal RNA", at positions 524 to 776 of the family's 1533-position model. The record is from RNAcentral.
UACGUAGGGUCCGAGCGUUGUCCGGAAUUAUUGGGCGUAAAGGGCUCGUAGGCGGUCUGUCACGUCGGGAGUGAAAACUUACAGCUUAACUGUGAGCGUGCUUUCGAUACGGGCAGACUUGAGGCAUUCAGGGGAGAACGGAAUUCCUGGUGUAGCGGUGAAAUGCGCAGAUAUCAGGAGGAACACCGGUGGCGAAGGCGGAUCUCUGGGCCUUACCUGACGCUGAGGAGCGAAAGCGUGGGGAGCGAACAGG